Long non-coding RNA from Rattus rattus (black rat), 1087 nucleotides. RefSeq lists it as uncharacterized. The record is from RefSeq and is a predicted model, not a curated record. Lineage: Eukaryota; Metazoa; Chordata; Mammalia; Rodentia; Muridae. The transcript is spliced from 2 exons.
AUUCAAGGUCCAGGUUUGAGACUCAGGUUAUACUGAAUGGAUCCUAGGUUUUCUAGUUGCAUUACAGUAAUAAUAAGUAAUAAACUUAUCUCUCGACUAGACGGAGGAAAGAUAGUAUCUGCAAAAGACUUACAUGAAUAAACUAUAUUAGAUUUCUAAAUAAAAAUCAAUAGGUAAUAACAUUAAAUUGACAUAAACCAAUUUAAUUUAUGUGAGUAAGCUUACAAUAUAUUUAAAAUAUAAUUUGACGAUAUAUUUUGCCAGCUAAACAUAUUAGCUUGCAAAGCUGAGUUAGUUCAAGAAAGUUUGUUGCGGGUUUCUCCAAGGGUAUUGGGACUGUGAGGCUCCGGGGAAAACACUUCAUUCGAUCCACUUUCAUCCUUCAUGGAGAGGUACUGACUUCAUGAAGGAUGUAUAAAAAGAUCGGCAAGAGCAUCCAAACAAAUUAAUCAGCCUUUCAUGUCAGCCUUUUGUAUUGGAUGUGCAUGUUUCUUAUGUAAAUGAUAAUGUAACUUGGAACAAUUGAGUCCCUUGCUUUAUUUUCAUGUAGACCCAAAGAGCAGACUCAGUCACACCUGUGGCCUUAAGAGCUCACAUGAACUUUGACCUGUAAGCAAUGUGGAAAUGUUGGAUUUUUACUGGAGUCCAAAGGACUGCUUUUCACCGCUACCAAGGGACCCUGAAUAUUACACCACACUCAUCUUUCUGAACUGGCCACUGGCUGUCUUUUCAACUGCAUGUCUCAGGCACUGUGUGUACUGCUUUGAACUACUAGCCAUACUCUGCCAUUUGGGGCUCAAACUGAGGAAAUGUUUGCAUAGCAUCAUCUUCAAGAAGUUGUGUAUAUUCUGCUAGGAAGUAAAGAUGCUGACCUUAAGCAUUGAAAGAUGGAAGCCAUUCUGAGACAAUGCAGGGAGACUAAGUGCUUGUGGGUUAUUUUUGCUUUAUAAAGAGUUUGCAACCAGCCCAAGUUGAUCCACAGAGUAGUAGCUCCUAAAAGUCACUUAGCUAUGUAUUGGCUUUAUCUGGGAGCUAUGGCUACCAUUUCAGACUCUAAUAUAAAUAGACAAUAAAUAUUUUUCCUGAA